Non-coding RNA from Rhypophila decipiens, 131 nucleotides. The record is from the annotation of a GenBank genome assembly. NCBI's taxonomy places the organism in Eukaryota, Fungi, Ascomycota, Sordariomycetes, Sordariales, Naviculisporaceae.
GGUUCUUUGGUGCAGUUGGAAGCACGUUGCGUUACGCAGAGUCUUUGGGCAGCUCAAUUUAUUGAGCGGAUGUAAACCGGGCUAGGGUAUGCAGACACAACAGACUCUGGGUUCGAAUCCCGGAAGGGGCA